Brachypodium distachyon (stiff brome) is the source of this 1692-nucleotide RNA transcript. It is a transcript of the gene named universal stress protein PHOS32, with no coding region annotated. Lineage: Eukaryota; Viridiplantae; Streptophyta; Magnoliopsida; Poales; Poaceae. The record is from RefSeq and is a predicted model, not a curated record. The transcript is spliced from 3 exons.
AAUGAACCGACUUUUUGACCUGAGGCAGUUUAGGACAAUAAGCAGACGUGAAGAGCACCGGAUGGAAGAGCAGGGGAAGAUCGAGAAGGAUUAAGAAAAGCGGAGCAGAAAAGGACACACCAUUAGGCAGAGCUACGUGCGUGUACGACAAGUUAUUCUUCCCCAAAUCACACAGCACUCCCCAGUUGAAGAGGCUCUUUCUCUCGAUUCCUCCAUUUCAAUCCGAGACCCCCACUCACCAUCUCCUCGCCUCGGAUCGGAUCAGAGCACCACCGGAAAAUUCCAGAAUAAACACACGAAAACUCGGAAGCAGCAAGAGUUAGCGCGAAAACCCUAGCCCUCGACAACACCAUGGCGGCUAACUCCUCCUCCCCGUCGGCCGGCGGCGGCGACGUGGCCUCCCCUUCGCUGCCGCCGGUGCGUCUCUCGGCGGCGCAGGCGGCGACGAUCCAGCCCUCCUCCCCGCGCUACUUCUUCUCCUCGCUGGCCGGCGGCAACGCCUCCUCCCACCGGCGCAUCGCCAUCGCCGUCGACCUCUCCGACGAGUCCGCCUUCGCAGUUCGCUGGGCCGUGCAGAACUACCUCCGUCCCGGUGACGCCGUUGUUCUCCUGCACGUGCGACCCACCUCCGUCCUCUACGGGGCCGACUGGGGCUCCAUCCCCGUCUCCGUCUCCGACGACGACGGCAGCGCCGACGGCGAGGACGCCCCCGCGGCCACCGCUGAGGGCGCCGAGGCGGCCUCCGCGGAGGAGCUGCAGAAGAAGCGAGAGGAGGACUUUGACACCUUCACAUCGACCAAGUCUCAGGACCUGGCGCAGCCGCUGGUCGCUGCACAGAUCCCCUUUAAGAUCCACGUCGUCAAGGAUCAUGACAUGAAGGAGCGGUUAUGCCUCGAGGCCGAGCGCCUUGGCUUGUCCGCUAUGAUCAUGGGAAGCCGUGGCUUCGGUGCCUCGCGGAAGGGUGGGAAGGGGAGACUCGGGAGUGUUAGUGAUUAUUGUGUGCAUCACUGUGUCUGCCCGGUUGUGGUUGUUCGCUACCCGGAUGAUGCUGCAGGUAUCGCUGGGGAGGCAGCAGGAGCAACAGAUGAGCUGCACACUGUGCCUGAGGAUGAGCCAGUGUAUCAUGAUGCACCUGACGCUCACAAAGCGAUUUACAAUGGUGCCUUUUGAAGGUCCUUUGAAGUACGAGUGUCAAACAGAAGAAACACCAAGAUAAUGUUCCUCUUUUCGUGUUUCUUCUGUUUGCCACUCAUUUUUUUUAAAAAAACUGAGGCAAUGGCAUGCAACUGCAGCGCAAGGAGAACAUGAGGCUUGUACCAAGGCGAUCCCUGUGUACCUGAGCGGCAUGACUGGAUGCUUAUCUUUGGCUUCUGUAUCCACUGCAUAAGUGAAUAUCACAAACUGGGUUGGUCAGCAGGCUACUUUUGCAUUUUGAGUUAGUACCAGGCUCUCGGAUCACCGGAGUCUUUGUGUUGAUUUGCGAUGCCAGACGUUUAUGCUUGGACAGCAGGUAGACUGAACUAUUCCUGUGUGCGCAUGCUGUCUGUUUAUGUUGGAUCCUGGACCUGUAAGCCCCGUGUUGUAUUAUCCCUAGUUUUCGGCAUUUGGACGCUUGGGUAAUGGACACUGCUUGUUUCUCUGUACAUGUUUGUAAGACAGGUUUGUGCCAAAAUAAAUACCAUGUUGACAUCU